UAUAUAGCCGUGCGAAUUACAUUGGAAAGUCAGAAAGGUGCUAAACAUGAAAAGUUCCAUUAUCUGUAUUGUAUUGGUGCUGGCGUUAAUAGGCUUGUCAAUGGCUUAUGAUGAUUCCGUACUGUGCCAAGUCGAUUGGGAAAAAAAAUGUAUCUGUAGAAUGUACAUUUUUGAGUGGUGCCCUGAAGGCUAUUUCAGUUGCCCAUUUGGUGUUUUCAAUAAGUGCGCAGCCUUAUUGCGCACAUGCUGCAAACGGUAAAUCCCAGAUGGCGUUGCUUCUAGAUUAACACAGAUAUAGGUAGGUACCUACCUACCUAACAUCAAUUAAUCCAAUUAUUUUUGUUACAAUACCUAUCAAUAAAAUUGUUUAAAUUA
Molecule: long non-coding RNA, 375 nt
Organism: Photinus pyralis (common eastern firefly)
Lineage: Eukaryota; Metazoa; Arthropoda; Insecta; Coleoptera; Lampyridae
Exons: 2
Source: RefSeq, a predicted model, not a curated record